Molecule: non-coding RNA, 856 nt
Organism: Megalopta genalis
Lineage: Eukaryota; Metazoa; Arthropoda; Insecta; Hymenoptera; Halictidae
Source: RefSeq, a predicted model, not a curated record
UCUCGCGGUCACUUUUCUCCCCUCGAUCAAAUUAUCGAUCAGUGACUCCCGUAAACGAGAGCCCGCGCUCCCGGUCAACAGUCCUUUCCCCGACCGCCCGGGGAAACGAGACUCGCCGAUCCGCGACGAAACGAAACGAAACGAAACGAAGCGAAGUCGAGCCUCUGCCGGUCUAACCCUGUCCCGUCGUGUUCACCGUGUUCCUAGCGGACCGCCGCAUUUUCUCACGCGGAAACCGAUCCGAGAACUGUCGCGAGCAUCUCGCGUCGAUUCGACGAUCCGUGGACGAACAUCGGGGGAAAACAACGAGCGACGCCCGUCGUGCGACCCGAUCUCUUUUAAACGUUGCGUUUAACGCGCAAUCGUUGCGUCUCGUUCCCCGAAGCCGGAACAAGGGGCCCGAGAGAAAGAAAAGUUCGCGAGGAAUGAAUCUGUUCUAAAUAAGAGGGAACACCGAUACCGAGUUCGGUAUGCGGCGGUACAGUAGAUCCGAUAAAAAAAAUUCGUCUUCCAAAGGAAAAGUGGGUCCCGCCGCCAGCCCGUUUCCAUAUAUGCAGAUAUCUUAGGAGACAGCUCCUUUCACGCAAGGACCAACGAUCAGAUUUUGACAACGAGCGUACAACGAGGAUUUUUUUACGACUGAAAGCUCGGUGUAUUAUGUGGCCAGCGCUGGGAAAAAGAUAGAUUAUUGAAACAGUAAGUAGAGUAGUAUAAAUAUUUGUAUCUUCUCAUCCGACACAAAGUUGGCGGAACGAACUAUUUUCCAAAUGAAAGUUACAUAUGGAAACAGCAUUUUAACACGUUCAAUGCCACGGGGGCCACCGGUGACCGGCACUUAACUUGGCGGUGACGCCAC